GUCACCAUCCCUGGAGGUAUUAACAGAUAUUUACAGGUAUUUAACAGGACACAGGACAUAUGUGAGAUCUGUGGACCAUGCAGAGGACUCUGGAGGGCAGCAAGGAAACCACCGUAAAAAUCACCACCCAGAAUCCAGAAUGUCAUGGCUUGUGUGCACCUGUUUACAGAAAAUGGUGAAAGACACAGAUUGCUUCACUUAUUGGACUACUGUGAAGUCCUUGCAUAUUCUGGCUUGAAAAUUUGUAUGAAACCAUCCAGAAAAAAGGUUUAGAUGUGACAGAUUUAUGUGGAAUUGAAAAGCAUGACAGAGAAAACUCAAGAAA
Long non-coding RNA from Parus major (Great Tit), 325 nucleotides. RefSeq lists it as uncharacterized. The record is from RefSeq and is a predicted model, not a curated record. The transcript has 3 exons. Lineage: Eukaryota; Metazoa; Chordata; Aves; Passeriformes; Paridae.